Long non-coding RNA from Calidris pugnax (ruff), 663 nucleotides. RefSeq lists it as uncharacterized. The transcript is spliced from 2 exons. NCBI's taxonomy places the organism in Eukaryota, Metazoa, Chordata, Aves, Charadriiformes, Scolopacidae. The record is from RefSeq and is a predicted model, not a curated record.
UUAAUGUUUGUCAAAUUUAGGUUGACGGUUGGACAAGAUGAUCUUUAAGGUCGCUUCCAACCUAGAAGAUUCUGUGAUUCUGUGAUUGAUGCUUACGUAGAAGGAUGUCAAUAAUCAUUGAUAAUUACCUUUUCUCACUGUGAGGGUGUAUUUUCUUUUGCGAAUACUUCACAGCAGGAAUAAUACCAGGAAGAAUAAAAGGGAAGAGGACACUUUUGUGUGGUCAGAACCUCCAGCAGCCGAGUGUUCCUACAUGUUGAUGAUGAGUACAAGAGAGACGGAGCUGCUGUGUCAUGUACCUUGGAGCCACGUGGAAUCAAAGUGAGUGGCUACCCAGACUUCCUUUUCCUUUCCUGUUCCAAGUGCAAGAAAUGUACCAAGAGCUGGCAAACAGAGGUAGCAGGCUUUCACUCAUCUUUAAGACUCCAUAUUGUAUAUCUUUUCUGACUUUCCUAUAAAUAAAAACAGCUAUAAGAGUGCCUCUGGCUAUUAUAUCCAAGGAUAAGUAUUUGAGAUACAUGAGAGAUGCUCAGGGAAUUGAUGUCUUCAGGAGAAAAAAAAACGUCCUGAGAUCAAUUUCCUGAUUCAAUAGCGAAGUCCUGAUAUCAUACAAAAUGUAAUGUGAUUGUCCAUGGCUCUAAUAAAAUCUUGAUUUUUUUUCCA